GACGAACGUUGGCGGCGUGCUUAACACAUGCAAGUCGAACGGGAAGGCCCUGCUUUUGUGGGGUGCUCGAGUGGCGAACGGGUGAGUAACACGUGAGUAACCUGCCCUUGACUUUGGGAUAACUUCAGGAAACUGGGGCUAAUACCGGAUAGGAGCUCCUGCUGCAUGGUGGGGGUUGGAAAGUUUCGGCGGUUGGGGAUGGACUCGCGGCUUAUCAGCUUGUUGGUGGGGUAGUGGCUUACCAAGGCUUUGACGGGUAGCCGGCCUGAGAGGGUGACCGGCCACAUUGGGACUGAGAUACGGCCCAGACUCCUACGGGAGGCAGCAGUGGGGAAUAUUGCACAAUGGGCGGAAGCCUGAUGCAGCAACGCCGCGUGCGGGAUGACGGCCUUCGGGUUGUAAACCGCUUUCGCCUGUGACGAAGCGUGAGUGACGGUAAUGGGUAAAGAAGCACCGGCUAACUACGUGCCAGCAGCCGCGGUGAUACGUAGGGUGCGAGCGUUGUCCGGAUUUAUUGGGCGUAAAGGGCUCGUAGGUGGUUGAUCGCGUCGGAAGUGUAAUCUUGGGGCUUAACCCUGAGCGUGCUUUCGAUACGGGCUGACUUGAGGAAGGUAGGGGAGAAUGGAAUUCCUGGUGGAGCGGUGGAAUGCGCAGAUAUCAGGAGGAACACCAGUGGCGAAGGCGGUUCUCUGGGCCUUUCCUGACGCUGAGGAGCGAAAGCGUGGGGAGCGAACAGGCUUAGAUACCCUGGUAGUCCACGCUGUAAACGGUGGGUACUAGGUGUGGGGUCCAUUCCACGGGUUCCGUGCCGUAGCUAACGCUUUAAGUACCCCGCCUGGGGAGUACGGCCGCAAGGCUAAAACUCAAAGGAAUUGACGGGGCCCCGCACAAGCGGCGGAGCAUGCGGAUUAAUUCGAUGCAACGCGUAGAACCUUACCUGGGUUUGACAUGGAUCGGGAGUGCUCAGAGAUGGGUGUGCCUCUUUUGGGGUCGGUUCACAGGUGGUGCAUGGCUGUCGUCAGCUCGUGUCGUGAGAUGUUGGGUUAAGUCCCGCAACGAGCGCAACCCUUGUUCACUGUUGCCAGCACGUUAUGGUGGGGACUCAGUGGAGACCGCCGGGGUCAACUCGGAGGAAGGUGGGGAUGACGUCAAGUCAUCAUGCCCCUUAUGUCCAGGGCUUCACGCAUGCUACAAUGGCUGGUACAGAGAGUGGCGAGCCUGUGAGGGUGAGCGAAUCUCGGAAAGCCGGUCUCAGUUCGGAUUGGGGUCUGCAACUCGACCUCAUGAAGUCGGAGUCGCUAGUAAUCGCAGAUCAGCAACGCUGCGGUGAAUACGUUCCCGGG
RNAcentral lists this ribosomal RNA (1343 nucleotides) under uncultured bacterium. RNAcentral describes it as "16S ribosomal RNA". It matches the Rfam family "Bacterial small subunit ribosomal RNA", at positions 28 to 1378 of the family's 1533-position model. The record is from RNAcentral.